This 611-nucleotide ribosomal RNA is filed under the name uncultured Curvibacter sp. RNAcentral describes it as "bacterial SSU rRNA". It matches the Rfam family "Bacterial small subunit ribosomal RNA", at positions 72 to 679 of the family's 1533-position model. The record is from RNAcentral. Lineage: Bacteria; Pseudomonadati; Pseudomonadota; Betaproteobacteria; Burkholderiales; Comamonadaceae.
CACGGGAGCAAUCCUGGUGGCGAGUGGCGAACGGGUGAGUAAAGUAUCGGAACGUGCCCAGUCGUGGGGGAUAACGUAGCGAAAGUUACGCUAAUACCGCAUACGAUCUAUGGAUGAAAGCGGGGGAUCGCAAGACCUCGCGCGAUUGGAGCGGCCGAUAUCAGAUUAGGUAGUUGGUGGGGUAAAGGCUCACCAGGCCGACGAUCUGUAGCUGGUCUGAGAGGACGACCAGUCACACUGGGACUGAGACACGGCCCAGACUCCUACGGGAGGCAGCAGUGGGGAAUUUUGGACAAUGGGCGCAAGCCUGAUCCAGCCAUGCCGCGUGCAGGAUGAAGGCCUUCGGGUUGUAAACUGCUUUUGUACGGAACGAAAAGGUUUGGCCUAAUACGCUGGACUCAUGACGGUACCGUAAGAAUAAGCACCGGCUAACUACGUGCCAGCAGCCGCGGUAAUACGUAGGGUGCGAGCGUUAAUCGGAAUUACUGGGCGUAAAGCGUGCGCAGGCGGUUAUGUAAGACAGAUGUGAAAUCCCCGGGCUCAACCUGGGAACUGCAUUAGUGACUGCAUAGCUGGAGUACGGCAGAGGGGGAUGGAAUUCCGCGUGUAGC